RNAcentral lists this ribosomal RNA (546 nucleotides) under Bifidobacterium adolescentis. RNAcentral describes it as "partial 16S ribosomal RNA". It matches the Rfam family "Bacterial small subunit ribosomal RNA", at positions 154 to 711 of the family's 1533-position model. The record is from RNAcentral. Lineage: Bacteria; Bacillati; Actinomycetota; Actinomycetes; Bifidobacteriales; Bifidobacteriaceae.
AAACGGGUGGUAAUGCCGGAUGCUCCAGUUGACCGCAUGGUCCUCUGGGAAAGCUUUUGCGGUAUGGGAUGGGGUCGCGUCCUAUCAGCUUGAUGGCGGGGUAACGGCCCACCAUGGCUUCGACGGGUAGCCGGCCUGAGAGGGCGACCGGCCACAUUGGGACUGAGAUACGGCCCAGACUCCUACGGGAGGCAGCAGUGGGGAAUAUUGCACAAUGGGCGCAAGCCUGAUGCAGCGACGCCGCGUGCGGGAUGACGGCCUUCGGGUUGUAAACCGCUUUUGACUGGGAGCAAGCCCUUCGGGGUGAGUGUACCUUUCGAAUAAGCACCGGCUAACUACGUGCCAGCAGCCGCGGUAAUACGUAGGGUGCAAGCGUUAUCCGGAAUUAUUGGGCGUAAAGGGCUCGUAGGCGGUUCGUCGCGUCCGGUGUGAAAGUCCAUCGCUUAACGGUGGAUCCGCGCCGGGUACGGGCGGGCUUGAGUGCGGUAGGGGAGACUGGAAUUCCCGGUGUAACGGUGGAAUGUGUAGAUAUCGGAAAGAACACCA